UCAUCAACUCACUAACAAGUAUUGUUACUAAACUUUCCCUUUGAUAUUAUCUUCAUGGCAACCAUGGCUGCAACUCUCGCCUCUUCACUCACCUCGAAAAUCUUCGAUAACAAAACCUCCUUCAAUGGCUCACCCGUGUUCUCCCGGGUGCAAUCCAUCAAAUCUGCCCCUAAGAACCACUCAUCUACCAUCUCUGCGGUUGCAACUCCUAACUAUGACCUAGACAACUUCAAAUUCAACCCUAUCAAGGAGUCCAUCGUGUCCCGAGAGAUGACACGGAGAUACAUGACCGACAUGAUCACGUAUGCAGACACUGAUGUUGUUGUUGUAGGUGCAGGAUCAGCUGGCCUAUCAUGUGCCUAUGAGCUCAGCAAGAACCCUGACAUCAACAUAGCAAUUAUUGAACAAUCCGUGAGCCCUGGUGGCGGUGCGUGGCUAGGUGGACAGCUUUUCUCAGCUAUGGUUGUUCGUAAACCAGCUCACAAGUUCCUUGACGAGCUCGAGGUGGAGUACGAUGAGCAAGAUGACUACGUGGUCAUCAAGCAUGCAGCACUUUUUACGUCGACUAUUAUGAGCAAGCUUUUGGCUAGGCCUAAUGUGAAGCUGUUCAAUGCAGUGGCGGCUGAGGAUUUGAUUGUCAAGGGAGACAGAGUUGCUGGAGUUGUGACAAAUUGGGCUCUUGUGUCCAUGAACCAUGACACACAAUCUUGCAUGGACCCGAAUGUCAUGGAAGCUAAGAUUGUGGUUAGCUCGUGUGGGCAUGAUGGUCCUUUUGGAGCCACUGGUGUCAAGAGGUUGAGGAGUAUCGGGAUGAUUGAGAGCGUUCCUGGAAUGAAGGCUCUUGAUAUGAAUGCUGCUGAGGACGCGAUUGUUAGGCUUACUAGAGAAAUUGUGCCCGGGAUGAUUGUUACUGGCAUGGAAGUGGCUGAGAUUGAUGGAUCCCCAAGAAUGGUAAAAACUUUUUACGCGAAUUCCUAUUAUAUACAAAACAUUUUCAUUGAUCAUCUUAUUAGGCUGUAUUAGAAAAUUUUGGGUACAUUUUAACGAAUGUUAUUGUAUAUGCAGGGACCGACAUUUGGGGCGAUGAUGAUGUCAGGACAGAAAGCAGCACAUCUGGCAUUGAGGGCAUUAGGUCUACCAAAUGCUCUGGAAGAGAGCCAACCAGAGUUUGUAAUUGCAGAUGCUGCGGAUGAGAUUGUGGAAGCUUGAUCAAUCUAAUAGUAGUACGACUGUACGUGUAAUGUUAUGAGAUAAAUAAAGCAAGAUUGUGCAAUAAACUUUCUUUGGAAGGGAGAACAGAUGUGGAUUUGUUCCUGUUUUUAGAGUAAGGGGUGAAGAUGUUGAUAAGGUGAUCAUGAAUGUAUUGUAGUAGCUUUUGGUUCUGCUUGGACCCUAGUAAUGAUUUUAUAAUCGUCUGAUUCCUCGGCCACCUGUUAAUAGGAUAACAGAUUGAAAUUUGCAUCUAUGGAAUUGUUAAUUCUGGACUUCCAAGUUCUCUUUAAUUAAGAGAUACAUGUCCUAUAUGAAUUGAACCAAAAUACGAUAUCCGAGUUCCUUCCGGUUUAUCAUCCAACUUACGUACGGACGUGCAGAGAUGACCGCAAGCAUUUUUUAAUAAAACUGUAAUGUCUGAGCAAAGAAGGCGAAGUCAUCAUAACAUGCAACCAAUUUAAUAAACGAUACCUCUUUGUACUGAAAAACUGGAAAGAAAUUGACGAAGAGAGAGUUGAGGAGUCCGAUGAUUGAGUUGGCUCAUUAUACUGAGAGCCAUUUCCGAUGAAUUCUAUUACUUUUAACAAGGAAAGAUGUAUAAAGAGCAAAAGGAAGAGAAUCCCCAGCUUAAGAAAGAAUUCUAUGAGUUUUAGUAGGGACAGAGGCAUCGAGAGCAAAUGAGAGAGAGAGGCCCAAGCUUAAUAAAAGAACUUCAGGCGAAAAUAGGAUGAAACUUUGGCUUCCAUAAACUGCACAACUGACAUAAAAACCCACUACCACUCUCAAAACCAAAUCAAGGUCUGAAUUGUAUCCUUCAUACUGUGGUGUUGAUCUUUGUUUUGAUAAGGAAAGAUUAACAGCCCCGGCAUAAUGGAGUAAUGCAGCAACUACUGCAGUUGUCAGCUUUGGAUGAUUCAAGGCAUUUAAUUGAAACUUCAUGCUUGCGGUUCUCUCCCUCCCCUUCUCGAAUAAUGAUACCAGGGUUGAUCUAGAUAAAGAGUGGGAAAAAGUUGGACAGAAACAGUGUACACAUCGAUGGUCAUUAAGCUGAUCAUAAAGUAGUUCAAUGGCUGCAUGGAAUCGAGCCUCAGCACAAAGUACAAUACCUAGAUUAGAGGCCUCUCAAGAAUCAAGUAACCUCUGCUAAUUAUAUCUAUUGCAGAAACAGAACAAAGAUUCGUAAUUUAAAGUAUUGAAUGAUGAAUUAAAACCUGACACAGCCACUUCUCCGCUUCGUUUCAGUCUCUAGUUACAAACAGAUAAUGAAAGAAGCUGCAGAGUAAUUCAAUUACGCCCAAAUGUUUGUGAUGUGGAUUUCAUCCUUGCAGUGUGCCUAUAAAUGGCUUUAGACAGGCUGAUGCAGAGAAAGGAACAAUAACUGUGGUGGUGCAUCGACUAUCGAGAACCAGAUAUCUGUUUCACAAGCUAGAGCAAGUAAUUCACUAUACUCUUGCAGAACACAUGGAAGGUCCUUACUACAUAAUAAUCCAUCUAGAGCAUGUAAAAACAUGAACAAAGCAAAAAAAAUCCGCUUUAAGGCUUUGUCCCACGUACACCAUCCACCCUAGUUGGCCAUCCACAAGUAACACGAAUGUUAUAGUGAUAAUCUGAAUUAUUACGUAUAACGGUUGAACUGGAUAAACACCAAAUUCAAGUUGCGAUCAUCAUUAAGCUGAACAUUAAGCAAAACAAUGAGGCAUUAUAAUUGAGUACAUAGGUACGAAUCAGGGCAAUACAGAUCCAAAUCAAGCACUGACAAAAUAACUAGGGAACCUGAUGGUUAUAUAGUACAGUAUGUUUUAAGUCAAGUAACAUAUGCUUAGAUCCAAACUUUCAAAUAUAAGAACAUCAAUAUAUACAACACUCAGUCCAUCACCAACUUAACCUCAACAUAUCAUUUAUUAUAUCAGCAUUGAGGUUUUUUAAGUGACUCCGCAACAAUUUUCCCGUCCAAUUGUAAAAACAUAAGAUGAACACUAAAAUUCUGUAUCUGAGUCAACCACAAUAGAACAGCAACCAGAACAACUUGUCCCCUCUUAACAGCCUUGAAGAUUGCAUCAGACAGAAUGGUACUGGUUGUCUCUUUCUUUUCACGAGCCUCUUUCUUUUCUUUCUGCUAAAUACAAAUAGUGUAAUUAAAAUCCACACUAGGUUUUAAGUGUCGAGCACAAACCAUUUGUGGCAGGCACAGAGUGAUGAUCAACUUGGAAACAGAUUUCUUUGGACUCGGUCCCAAAUUGUAGCAUUGAGCACAUCAUAGUUAUCUAGGCAUAACGAGAAGGUCGUACAGUAUGUAGCUUAAUCUUUCAACAGCAUAAUCCAGUAGUGAAAUGUUACGACUUGUCGCUGGAUCUCAAAACAGUGAUUCACGAAUUGCUCCAUGGUCAGCUAGUAGCUUAACCAAACUAUAGGACAAAGACCUAGCUGCAUCCUGCAGCGUCAACUCCCAUAACAGUUUUGGAUGUUGAGAUCCAACGUCGAAGCCACGCUUGAAAAAAAUUCAACUGCACAUUUGCUUGCACGACAAUGAUAUUUCUUCCUAAGAAUACUAUAUGCGCUCACAUCCAACAAUACAGGCACAGCUCGCUCCGAUUUUUUCAUUGGUGAUUUGUGAACUCUCCAAAAUUAAUUGAAGUUUAUAAGAUUCAUAUUCCUCAAUGAUCAUCCUCCUGUUUGGCUGCAAAUCAAAUGAUGUAAAAGAACUCCAAUCUUGCCAAUAGUCAAUACAUAAUAUAAGCACAUGGGGCGAGAACUUAGUAAAUUUGGCUGAGCUACAUUACAAUGUAUAAAUGAAAUGCCUUAUAAAAGUUAAUGAAGAUGACUGGUUGAAUUUCAAAACUUAAAUCUCUGAUUGAACCCGAAAACAAGGACCUUUGCUGUUCACAAUAACUUUGUCAAAAGUUUCAGUACAACGGAUGGAAAUAUGAUAAACAACCUUAAAAUUCAAUUGAUGAUGCAUGGCUACUAAAAAUAGUUGGAGCCAUGCGAAUCUUGAAAAUCAUGUUGUUCUGCUCUUACAUUAAUUAAUACAACUCCAACAUUAACUACAAUCCUAACUAUUUUGCGGAGGUUGAAAUAGAGAGCAAGGAAAAUAUUGGCUACAACUGCCACUGAAUUUCAAGCCUCGUUUGAACGACAGUACACUAUGCUUCAAUCUCUAUCUUUUCUACUGCUUCCUCUUCCAUCGUGCUCUGACGUCUAAAUAUCAAAGCUGAUGAAGGGCUGUCUACAGAAAGGGUACCUUCCAAUACCUUAACAACCUCGCCGAUGGAAGGUCUCAGAAAUGGUUGGCUUUGCAUACACCACAACGCUAUUCUAACAACUCUUUCUACCCCUCUCGCGUCCUCUAUUUCAUAUAAUUCCUUCUCUUUAUUCAACUGUUCAAAUACUUGUUGACCAACAGCUACAUUCCUCUUGCACAGCACAAUCUGAAGUAAUAUUUCCCCAAGCAUGUAAAUAUCUCUCUCCGGUGACGAUUCUGAAGUGGCGGCUCCUUCCUUUAGUUUAAAAAGUCCAAAAUUUGUCAGCUUAGGGACCAGCUUCUCAUCGAGCAAGACAUUUUCCAGUUUCAGAUCACCGUGAACUAUACACUGUUGACACUCAGAGUGUAGAUAAGCAAUGCCACGAGCAAUUCCAAUAGCAAUAUCAAGCCUAUGCUGCCAAUCAGUAUUACUUUUGUCAUGAUCAACGUUGAAUAAAAAGUUGUCCAAUGAGCCAUUUGGGACAUACUCAAAAAGUAUGAUCUUGUGCUUUGCCUCAAAGCAAAAACCUGUCAGAGAGACGAGGUUACGGUGAUGAGUCCUUCCCAAGCUUGCAACUGCUACUCGGAAUUCUUUCUCUGAUACAACUGGAUUGUUUAUCACUUUGGCAAUCACCAGUGAUCUGUUUGAGAGCUGACCUUUAAAUACUGAAGGACCAAGUUGAUUUUUAAAAUUUGAAGUUAGCUCUUGUAUCUCUUCAAAAGAUAGUCUGAUAAGAGCACUGUAGUGUGGGUUCAUCUGCUCAUCCUUCCCAAAAGGAAUCCGUUUCCCAGCUUUCAUUUGCCUUCUCUUGUGAAGAAACCAAAAUGCAAACAUCUGCAAGACCAGGAUAAUCAACAGUGUCCCCAAAAUUAUGAUGACAAUAGUUCCUAUAAACUUUCUACUGCUACCUCUUUCAGCUCCAGGUUUACCAGGUGACAAAUAAAUUAAUCCUGCAUCAUGAGGGUUAGCACCUCGAGCUGAAACUGCCUGGGGGACAAAACACGCUUUCAAGUAUGAAGUGGAAGGCACAGAUGGGGUUUGAUACCCACUUAUAAAGCUAGUCCUUUUCACAGUGCAUAGACCUGAACCAUCAUUCUUCGAAGUUGCAGCGAUACAUGUAGUGUCAUUAGAGCAGUACGCUCUACAAGCUUCUUGGCCCAACAUCAAAUCGACAUCAUGUGGAGGAUAUAGACCAUAAAGUACUGUUUGUUUCAUAACUAACAUGCUCGUACGCAUCUUGCAGUUACUCAAGUCGAUCAUCUUUUUGCACCCAGAAUUACCAAAAUCAGUUGCAGGAGCACCAGUUGCCCAUUCGUUAGAAUCUGAAAACAAGCAAUCACAAACAGGUCCUGAUGAAUUGAACCCACAUACACUAUAUAGACCACAAGCACCAAAUACAGUACACUGGUUUUCAACAGCUUGCCAUCCUACUCUCCAAGUCUGAACAAAACUAUCCCACGAAUACAUUCUCAAGUUCCCAUCUUGAUCUAUCCUCAAAUGCCUCAACCUGACAGAAGGGUCUCUAAAAUCUUUACUCGAAGUCGACCAAACCAUCUUGUUUGCAUCAUCAUACAACCCCAAAACACCAUCAUUGUCAAACCUCGCUUCCUUAACGGCAGCAGAGGAACUCGAAUGACUCCUCCAAUAAGUAACAUUGUGUUCCCAAACAAGAGCCAGUUCACCAGACUCCCUAAUUACAAAACUAUAGUAACUGACAGUAGAUUUUGCCGAAGGGGCUCUAAGAUUUUGAGGGAAAUGAAGAGACUGGCCCGGAACCAAAGUGCUUGUUGGGCUAUUAUAGCUUUCCCACACUACUCUAUUCUUACUAUCAACAAGAACUAAAUUCCCAUUGUUCAAAAGAUUAGCUUUUUCAAUGCCUAAAUUAGAUGUAUUACUACUCCAAACAACUAAUCCAUCAAGGUCAUUACUUAAAACAAGCUUACCAUCUAAAUCAAGCUUAAAUGUAGAGUUUAAAGAAACUCUAAGUCCUCCACCUACAGUCCAUAUAGGAACAUUAGCAGCUUUAGUACCUAGAUUAUAUCUAAUACCUACCAAAAGCCCAUCAGAAUCAGACCCAAUUUUCUCAAAGAACCCCAAUGCAAAAACCCCAUUUUCAGAAACUAAGCUACUACUUGAAUCAACCCCAGAAAAUUUAAAUCCUAAGGGAACUGAUACACCAGAAAAAUCAUCACAAAACCCAAGAUUAACAAACCCCAACAACAAAAUCACAACUAAAACCCGAAAAGAGUUCUUGAAAUGUAUAAAUCUGUAGUUUUUACCUGGUAAGUACUUGAUGAGCACCUCUGAAACUGGCAAAAAAUCAAACAUUUCAGCUGCAAGAAUGAGUGUUAAAAGUAAAAAAUCAGUGGUGUGACAGAGUUGAAGUAGAUGAGGUAGUGUGUGAGUGAAAAAAGAGUAGCCUGUAUUUUUGGAAUUUUUAAAUAGAUGGUGUUUGCUUUUUCAUAAAGUCUGAAUCUUUGUUAUGGCAAGCCUGUAUAAAAAAUGAAAAUGACAAAAUCAAUACACCUUUUUGGAGAUUCGAGGUUUUCAACUCUACUUUCUUUUACUUCCACUAACUACUUUUCCGUGUGUCACAGUCCUCCAUCCGACCCUUCCCAUAAUCCCAUGGAAUAGAAUAAUUUGGUGAGGAUUAUAAAAGCACGUUUGGUUGAAUUUAAAAUAAGUAAAUUAAAUUAAAAAAAUAGAUUAUAAGUGAAAAUUUAAUUUAAUAUAAGGUGUUAGAAGUGUUUGGAUACCGUGAUAGUUA
RNAcentral lists this long non-coding RNA (7221 nucleotides) under Daucus carota (carrot). RNAcentral's name for it is "long non-coding RNA (DCAR_LNC000775)". The record is from RNAcentral. Lineage: Eukaryota; Viridiplantae; Streptophyta; Magnoliopsida; Apiales; Apiaceae.